CAGAUAGCACACAUACAUCUGUCCGACGUCGGCCUGAGGACGACACAUCGGCCCUGAAUUUAUAACGUCUGACAAGCGUCGGCCGCAUGGGCGGAUAUCUUUAAAUUUAAUACUCUUUUGUCCCAGCUCAUCAAACGUCUCUGUUACGUCGGCUUUGGGUCGGCCCAGUGCCGUAGAAUGUCUGCCCACAUACGGAAGUCGCCACAGAGGCGGAAUUUCAUCUCCGCGGUGUUUGUUUGGAACUGAGCUCGCAGGACACAGCAUCUCAUCGCAGUUGGUUUCAGUUGACGUUAUCUGCUCAUCUGGUUAUCGUGAACACUCGUUUUGGGUUAAAGUGGAAGUGCCCGGAGCUGCCAGCCGUGGUCCCACCUGACUUCCAGGGCCCUGGACGGAUGCUCAAGUGCUGCCAGGAGAAGCGGACUGGCCGUCAGAUAUUGUUUGUGGAAAUUUGAAAAUAAAGUUUCUCAAAUUGA
This is a long non-coding RNA of Epinephelus moara (kelp grouper), 473 nucleotides long. RefSeq lists it as uncharacterized. The record is from RefSeq and is a predicted model, not a curated record. The transcript has 3 exons. Lineage: Eukaryota; Metazoa; Chordata; Actinopteri; Perciformes; Serranidae.